AUUGAACGCUAGCGGGAUGCCUUACACAUGCAAGUCGAACGGAGUGGCGAACGGGUGAGUAAUGUAUCGGAACGUGCCCAGUAGCGGGGGAUAACUACGCGAAAGCGUAGAUAAUACCGCAUACUAUAGGAGCGGCCGAUAUCGGAUUAGCUAGUUGGGGGGGUAACGGCUCACCAAGGCGACGAUCCGUAGCUGGUUUGAGAGGACGACCAGCCACACUGGGACUGAGACACGGCCCAGACUCCUCCGGGAGUCAGCAGUGGGGAAUUUUGGACAAUGGGGGAAACCCUGAUCCAGCCAUCCCGCGUGAGUGAUGAAGGACUUCGGGUUGUAAAGCACUGUUGGCAGGAAAGCGGUACCGACAGAAUAAGGACCGGCUAACUACGAGCCAGCAGCCGCGGUAAUUC
RNAcentral lists this ribosomal RNA (407 nucleotides) under uncultured bacterium. Its description in RNAcentral is "partial 16S ribosomal RNA". It matches the Rfam family "Bacterial small subunit ribosomal RNA", at positions 30 to 526 of the family's 1533-position model. The record is from RNAcentral.